Long non-coding RNA from Branchiostoma floridae (Florida lancelet), 665 nucleotides. RefSeq lists it as uncharacterized. NCBI's taxonomy places the organism in Eukaryota, Metazoa, Chordata, Leptocardii, Amphioxiformes, Branchiostomatidae. The transcript is spliced from 2 exons. The record is from RefSeq and is a predicted model, not a curated record.
GAAACUCCACAAAUAAAUGGUCCUCUCAAUAGUCUCCGCUGAGUUGAGUUUUAUUAGAAAUAUAUAUCAGAAACCACAUCUUAUGUCCUGUGCCUUGAUAAUUUGAUACAUGUAUGCGUCCAACAGUGGUCAUGAUACUUUAUGAUUACAGUGUUUACAUACAGGCCAUGAAACUGCCAAAUACAAGGUACACACCUGUUAAACAUUAUGUAUACACACACCUGUUAAACAUGUAACGUUGUAUAUAUGUAUACACACUGUCACACAUAUUUAAGAUCAAAUAAAAUUCUACCUCCACAUGUGUGCUAAUUAUAUUUUUUCCUGACAACAAAAAUGUUGGUUUCGCUGACAUGAUUAUCAACUAUAUCAUACAGACAUCAAUGUUAAAACUGUGGUUAAAAUUGUGCAUCCCUGAAUGUUGAGAACAUGAAGACAUUUACAGAUGCAGCAUGGAGAAUUCUGGUACUCAAAACCUGAGGACACGUAGAGAAUUCAGUACUGUACAAAUAACCACCUUUACUAAUUUGGGCAUAAACAGAAAAUGUACAUUUCCUAAUUUGGGCAUAUACAGAAAAUGUACAUUUCCCAAUUUGGGCAUAAACAGAAAAUGUACAUUUCCUAAUUUGGGCAUAUACAGAAAAUGUACAUUUCCUAAUUUGGGCAUA